Molecule: transfer RNA, 67 nt
Filed under: Themus regalis
Lineage: Eukaryota; Metazoa; Arthropoda; Insecta; Coleoptera; Cantharidae
Description: tRNA-Val
Source: RNAcentral
CUAAUUAAAGCUUUGUAGAAGUUUUUUAUUUACAUUAAAAGGAUUUAUUGGUAACAAUAUAAUUAGA